ACCUCACUAACUCCUUUAUUUUUAGACAUCUCUAUUUAUUUUAAGGAAUCCUUCCAUUUAGAAAAAAACAAAGUCUUUAUAAUGUGCAAGUUCUUAUAAUGGCAAAACCUUUUGAGGACUUUGGAUUAUCUGAAUGGAAGAAUGUUUUGAAACAAAUUGAGAUGUCUAAAAAUGAGGGAAUCGGUGAGGUGAUAAAUAAG
Molecule: long non-coding RNA, 200 nt
Filed under: Eucalyptus grandis
Lineage: Eukaryota; Viridiplantae; Streptophyta; Magnoliopsida; Myrtales; Myrtaceae
Description: long non-coding RNA (EGRA_LNC005877)
Source: RNAcentral